GGAGGUCUUUAUAUGCAAUUGGUUCUUGUUUUCUGCUUUUUCUCUUAGCUUACAACAGUUCCACUGUGUUCUAUGUUCAAGUCCCUGUUCCAGGGAACUCUUCGCCGGAGAUUUCAAGUUUUUUAACUGAAAAUGUCGCCAGAAAAUCAAGAAAGUUGGUUUCUUUAUCUACUUCAGCUAAACGUUCAUCCUCUGCGAUAUAUGCUGUAAAAGAAGAAACCCCACUUGUAAAGCCGAACACCCGGUUGAUAAUUUCCCGGAAAAAUCCAAACAUGGUGGGUUUUUCAUAUGAUUCAGAGGCUUAUCAACCUAGAAGAAGGAAAAAGAAGAAGUCUUUGGUGAAAGGGGACAGAAUCAAUGUGUUUUCAAUGAGAAUGAAGGAGUUUUUUGGUUCUAAAGCAU
This 402-nucleotide unclassified non-coding RNA is filed under the name Hevea brasiliensis (rubber tree). Lineage: Eukaryota; Viridiplantae; Streptophyta; Magnoliopsida; Malpighiales; Euphorbiaceae. The record is from RNAcentral.